Molecule: small nuclear RNA, 164 nt
Organism: Pogona vitticeps (central bearded dragon)
Lineage: Eukaryota; Metazoa; Chordata; Lepidosauria; Squamata; Agamidae
Gene: U1
Rfam family: U1 spliceosomal RNA
About the family: U1 is a small nuclear RNA (snRNA) component of the spliceosome (involved in pre-mRNA splicing).
Source: Ensembl
ACUCAUACUUUGCAGGGGAAAUACCAUGUAAUAAAGGUGGUUUUCCCAGGAAGAGGCUCAUCCAUUGUAGUUCAGGUAUGUUGCUGAUCCCUGUGAUUUCCCCAAAUGUGGGGAACUCAACUGCAUAAUUUGUGUUAACGGGAGAUUGCACUUGUUAUUUCCCU